AGGAGUAUCUGCAGAGGGAACCCUGAGGUGAUUGGCAUCAACCAUGUGGGGUGAAGUUGCCUGGCUGCUUGACCUUUGUGGGCUGCCAUGAGUGACUGGUUUAACAGUACCAAUACGGCAACCCAGGCUCACUGGGGGUGGCCUCCACCCAGAGGCCCGAUCGCCAAUACUACGGAGACGCAACAACAUGUGCCCUUAUAGCCACUACCUGUUGUGCCUAUUGGAGGAUUUCUUGAGCACAGGAGUUCAAGACCAGCCUGGAUAACAUAAUGAG
This 274-nucleotide long non-coding RNA is filed under the name Homo sapiens (human). Its description in RNAcentral is "non-protein coding lnc-UCHL3-4:2". The record is from RNAcentral. Lineage: Eukaryota; Metazoa; Chordata; Mammalia; Primates; Hominidae.